Molecule: ribosomal RNA, 253 nt
Filed under: uncultured bacterium
Lineage: Bacteria
Description: partial 16S ribosomal RNA
Rfam family: Bacterial small subunit ribosomal RNA
Source: RNAcentral
UACGUAGGGUGCGAGCGUUGUUCGGAUUCAUUGGGCGUAAAGGGUGCGUAGGCGGCGCGGUAAGUCGGGUGUGAAAUCUCGGAGCUUAACUCCGAAACUGCAUUCGAUACUGCCGUGCUUGAGGACUGGAGAGGAGACUGGAAUUUACGGUGUAGCGGUGAAAUGCGUAGAUAUCGUAAGGAAGACCAGUGGCGAAGGCGGGUCUCUGGACAGUUCCUGACGCUGAGGAGCGAAAGCGUGGGGAGCGAACAGG